RNAcentral lists this ribosomal RNA (452 nucleotides) under uncultured bacterium. Its description in RNAcentral is "bacterial SSU rRNA". It matches the Rfam family "Bacterial small subunit ribosomal RNA", at positions 29 to 526 of the family's 1533-position model. The record is from RNAcentral.
AACGAACGCUGGCGGCAGGCCUAACACAUGCAAGUCGAACGCCCUCUUCGGAGGGAGUGGCAGACGGGUGAGUAACGCGUGGGAACCUACCUAGUAGUACGGAACAACACAGAGAAAUUUGUGCUAAUACCGUAUACGCCCUACGGGGGAAAGAUUUAUCGCUAUUAGAUGGGCCCGCGUUGGAUUAGCUAGUUGGUGAGGUAACGGCUCACCAAGGCGACGAUCCAUAGCUGGUCUGAGAGGAUGAUCAGCCACACUGGGACUGAGACACGGCCCAGACUCCUACGGGAGGCAGCAGUGGGGAAUAUUGGACAAUGGGCGCAAGCCUGAUCCAGCCAUGCCGCGUGAGUGAUGACGGCCCUAGGGUUGUAAAGCUCUUUCAACGGUGAAGAUAAUGACGGUAGCCGUAGAAGAAGCCCCGGCUAACUUCGUGCCAGCCGCCGCCGUAACAC